This is a long non-coding RNA of Notolabrus celidotus (New Zealand spotty), 609 nucleotides long. RefSeq lists it as uncharacterized. The transcript is spliced from 3 exons. The record is from RefSeq and is a predicted model, not a curated record. Lineage: Eukaryota; Metazoa; Chordata; Actinopteri; Labriformes; Labridae.
UACUGAUCACCAGGUGAUAUUAAUGAGGGCAGGGGAGCCCAGUCUUAGUUGGAAGGUGAGGAGAGCACACGGUUCUCAGCAUACAUAUGCAGACAAGCUGAAUCUACAAAAACUGGACCAUGUGAGUCCAGUAAGUAUCUUCCCUGCAAUAAAUGGGAACAUCACCCAAAAAGCGAUGGAGUGGCGACCCGUCCAGGGUGAACCUGCUGGGUGGCACUUUCAGCUAUGACUCAACCACCAGAGAUAAAUGCACACCCAGCCAUCAUAAACUGUUACAACUGUGAAUGAACUCACACCUUACUGUGUGAGUGAAGAAAACAGGUUCAACCUCUGGAAACAGACAUGGUAAAUCAGGUCAUCCAACUUAGCAUGUGCCACGCCACGAGGGGAAGCUGUGGUUGAUAAGAGUCCACCAGGAAAUGAACGAUGAUUGGCCACCCUGGUUGCAUCAAGAGAAUCCUUGAUCAAUGAGUGGCUUUGUCAUGUUACAACUAUUUGACUCAUGAUGAAACAGCCUGCUGUUUUCCUUUGUACUCUACAGUCAUGACUGUGGACUCUUCAUGAGUCCUCCUGGAUUUAAUAAAAUAGAGAUGGCGAGUAGAAGAAGAA